GAGUCCUGGGGAAGGGCAGCAAGGAAAGGAACAUCUGGUAGGCGGCCGAGGUAGCUCUCCCUGAUGGAUCACUUCUCCGCCCCCUGGGACAGUAUUACGGUAAACCUCAGUAGGAGCCCGGAGGUUCCCCCCCCCCCCACCAGAGCCCUGGAAACAGAAAGCAUCCCUGCUGUGGGAAGGCAGUGAGCAGGCCUGGAGAGCCUCUCUAGCUGGAGAGACCUCAAAGUCUUUACGAAACGUCUUUCUCUUUUAUUUGAUCUUAUGUUAUUUUAUUAAAAAAAGUAAAGUAUUUAUCUAUUUGGAGAGAGAGAGAGCACAAGCGGCUGAGGGGUGGAGAGGAGGAGACACAGAAUCCCAAGCAGGCUCCACGCCAUCAACGCAGAGCCCGAUGCAGGGCUCGAACUCGCAAACUCGCGACCUGAGCCGAGAUCAGGAGUCAGAGGCGUAAUUGACUGCACCGCCCAGGUGUGCCCCGAAACUUCUUACUCUUUUGAACUCUGUCCAGGGAGUGGGGAAAGGUGUUUUUAUCUCUUAUCUGACCCCAUUGUCACCCUGAUGCUCAGGACUGAGGACAAUCUCUAAGGUCUACAGACAGAUGGACAUACGUUUGUUUAUUCAUUCAACAAACAUUCAUCGAGGGCCCACUGAAUGCCAGGCAUUGUGCUGCCUAAAUUCCAGCCACGCCAGUCGCCCAAAGGCAACCACGGGUGGUCACACCUCCCCGACGGAACAUCGGCCCCUUCGGGCAGGGACCCCCCCGUCCUCACUGCUGUGUCACUGUGCCUGGCAACGGUCGACACCUGGGUCAGGGCCCAGAGAGGCAGAGUCUGAGGCGAGAGCCGCGCUGAUGGACUCGCUUGCCUGAGACCCGAGCCCCUACCGACCUGCAAGGCCGCAGAGCUGAUAGAAGCAUUUCGACGACACCUGGAUCGAAGGCCACCUCGCCCCCAAGUGGCCUCCGCCUUCCGCCCGGCGACGCCCUCCCCCGUCAACACUAGGGGCUUCAGACUGACUUCCCCUCCAGUCCUGGCCGUCGGGUCCUCGCCAGCCACGAGCUCACUCUCAAGGAGAGAGGACCCCUCGCAUUCCUGGGCCACUGCUCUAUUCCCUUACGUCAGCCCAUGGAAACAUCUAUCUCAACACACCCUCGCCGCCUUAUCUUGCUCGGGUCCCGGGCCACGGCGGUAUUUGUCCAAAUUAGAGUCCGUUUGCUUUGCAAACCACACUCGAGCUCUCCUAGACACUGAGCAGCUGCUCCCUUCGCGUCCCCACCGGGGCCCUUGUUUGCACUGUGUGUUGUUGGCAAACAGACCGCCCCGAACGAGCCACUGAAGGGUACUUCCCGGCCCCGGGACCAAAGCAGCAGGCGCACGGAAGGCUUUGCUGGCUUCUCCUUAUCAGACGGCUACCUUGGUGCAGCAUUUCAAAAGCAGAUACCGAGAAAUCAAGCAUUCACGCAAAAGCGUCCCAAAACACCUCCACACGGUGCAAAGCACAGUCAUAUAAGUGCAGGUGGGAGGCACCCGGCCCGUGUUCCAGAAGCCCUUCCCUCUCUUUCUGGGUAAAGAGUCUCCACAGCCAGGCUGCCCGUAUUCGUAUCCCGGGGACCCCUGAGAGCGACCUGAUGUCUCUGCGGCUCAGUUUCCUCACCUGUAAAAUGGGGCUAAGAAUCUUGUCGGGAAGACUAUAUAAGCCAAAAUGUUAAGGUGCUCAGGACAGAGUCUCGCACACGAUAAAUUCUCACUAGAUACUUAAUCUAGUUGUCUUUCCGCG
This 1773-nucleotide long non-coding RNA is filed under the name Felis catus (domestic cat). RNAcentral describes it as "lncRNA (ENSFCAG00000053460.1)". The record is from RNAcentral. Lineage: Eukaryota; Metazoa; Chordata; Mammalia; Carnivora; Felidae.